GGGGGUGUCUGGUUUCGACUGUGGAACGUAGAUUGAUGUUGCGUAUCGGAGAUGAUGGUUGGCUCCGUAAAAAUCCAUCGAAAAACAUAAAUGGCAAAGAUAAAGAUAAUGUCAUAGCGGCUGACUUCGGCAACGAAGUUGUCGCCCUUGCUGCCUAAUUGCAGCACGUCGACCGGUUUGAUUCUCGCUAAAACCGAAUCGGUGUAUAAACAGCGAGAAACAUUGUGGCUUGGCAUCCGAAGCUACAAUGCAAUCAAAUGGAUGCUAGUUACGGUAAAUUUGUCGACUGAUUUGUCGGAAUGAAGUUGAUUAUCGACUAUAUGCGUAGAUACAUUCUUUGAAAUUUUGCAGGACGCGGGUUCGACUCCCGCCACCUCCACCA
RNAcentral lists this transfer-messenger RNA (382 nucleotides) under Puniceicoccales bacterium. It matches the Rfam family "transfer-messenger RNA". Rfam says of the family: Bacterial tmRNA, also known as 10Sa RNA or SsrA, is named for its dual tRNA and mRNA-like properties. Its role is to liberate the mRNA from a stalled ribosome. Lineage: Bacteria; Pseudomonadati; Verrucomicrobiota; Opitutia; Puniceicoccales. The record is from RNAcentral.